GACGAACGCUGGCGGCGUGCUUAACACAUGCAAGUCGAACGGUGAAGCGCCUUCCUUUUUGGUUGGUGUGGAUGAGUGGCGAACGGGUGAGUAACACGUGAGUAACCUGCCCCCUUCUUCUGGAUAACCGCAUGAAAGUGUGGCUAAUACGGGAUAUUCUGGGUCUGUCGCAUGAUGGGUCUGGGAAAGAUAUUGUUUCGGUGGGGGAUGGGCUCGCGGCCUAUCAGCUUGUUGGUGGGGUGAUGGCCUACGAAGGCGGUGACGGGUAGCCGGCUUGAGAGGGUGGACGGUCAGACUGGGAGUGAGACAAGGCGCGGACUGCUACGGGGGGCAGAAGUGGGGGAUAGGGCACAGUGGGCGAAAGCCUGAUGCAGCGGCGCCGCGGAAGGGAUGAAGGCCUUCGGGUUGUGAACCUCUUUCGCUAGUGAAGCAGGCCUGCCUCGUACGUGGGUGGGUUGACGGUAGCUGGAUAAGAAGCGCCGGCUAACUACGUG
This 494-nucleotide ribosomal RNA is filed under the name uncultured bacterium. Its description in RNAcentral is "partial 16S ribosomal RNA". It matches the Rfam family "Bacterial small subunit ribosomal RNA", at positions 28 to 507 of the family's 1533-position model. The record is from RNAcentral.